GCUGACGUAGCUCAAUCGGUAGAGCGCAUCCUUGGUAAGGAUGAGGUAGGCAGUUCAAUCCUGCUCGUCAGCUCCA
RNAcentral lists this transfer RNA (76 nucleotides) under Pseudodesulfovibrio profundus. RNAcentral describes it as "tRNA-Thr". It matches the Rfam family "tRNA". From Rfam's summary of the family: Transfer RNA (tRNA) molecules are approximately 80 nucleotides in length. Their secondary structure includes four short double-helical elements and three loops (D, anti-codon, and T loops). Further hydrogen bonds mediate the characteristic L-shaped molecular structure. tRNAs have two regions of fundamental functional importance: the anti-codon, which is responsible for specific mRNA codon recognition, and the 3' end, to which the tRNAs corresponding amino acid is attached (by aminoacyl-tRNA synthetases). tRNAs cope with the degeneracy of the genetic code in two manners: having more than one tRNA (with a specific anti-codon) for a particular amino acid; and 'wobble' base-pairing, i.e. permitting non-standard base-pairing at the 3rd anti-codon position. The record is from RNAcentral. Lineage: Bacteria; Pseudomonadati; Thermodesulfobacteriota; Desulfovibrionia; Desulfovibrionales; Desulfovibrionaceae. RNAcentral also lists the same sequence under 3 other names.